AAUCAGUACCCAAAAAGUAGAUUUCCAAAAGCUCAGCGAGCCCUGCUUUACAAAUUCAAGGAAAAUAUUUUCUUUUGGGAUCCUUUGUGUUGAGGAGUGCAAUCUGUUCACCUCGGAGCACGUGUCCUCUCUGCUACGAGGCGGCGGUCAGAGUUGAGAGGCUGUCAGCGGUGGCAGCACCUUACUUCGAAGUAGUCUUGAUCAAGGCCGCUCAUCUCCCCACGCCACUCCGCCCGUGACGGGACUACAGGACAGGCUGACAGGGUCACAGGCAUGAUGGAGUCAAUCCCUGCAGACUGAUUUUGGGCCAGAUGCACCCGGGUCAGAUGGAGGUGGAACACCAAUGACGGGCAACGGAAAAGAUCAACUCAACGGUUUUGACAAUUUUGGUGGACACGGUCCACUCUGGACAGAGGUACGCACGCAUCAUUACUAAAUUGAGUUGAUAGCACACUCCAGACUGGAGUGUACCUUUCCACCCCGCACACAUUGACUGAACAAUAACGUAAUUCAUAAAAAUAUCGACAUAGAAAAUAAUUUUCUAUUAAAUAGGAGUCACAAAGCGUAAGUUCAGAACUAGUGUCAACUUGUCAGAAAGUAGCUAAUCACUGAUUUGAAGUUUUACGAUCAUAUUUAUUACAGUCAGGAAACAUGUUGAAAAAAUGUAGCAAAGUGCUCUCUCACAUGAUUAUGAACAAGAUGUGACAAAACAGCCCAUGGUGAAAACCGCUUCAAAAUAUGCACACUCAAAUGGAAUUUUUACACAAACAUGUCGUGUUUUUCUUGCGCGUGUGGCUUUGCUGUUAAGCACAAAGAAAUAAUUUGUUACAACACUGCCGACAAGAAUGAAUGCAGACAAUAAGUGGCUUUCCAUCAGUUGAUCUGUUUUCAUCUUAAAUGGCCAUGAACAACUGCUCUGCAUAAUAUGCUGAUGUGCUUC
This is a long non-coding RNA of Syngnathus typhle (broad-nosed pipefish), 940 nucleotides long. RefSeq lists it as uncharacterized. NCBI's taxonomy places the organism in Eukaryota, Metazoa, Chordata, Actinopteri, Syngnathiformes, Syngnathidae. The record is from RefSeq and is a predicted model, not a curated record. The transcript has 4 exons.